GAUGAACGCUGGCGGCGUGCCUAAUACAUGCAAGUCGAGCGAACAGAUGAGGAGCUUGCUCCUCUGACGUUAGCGGCGGACGGGUGAGUAACACGUGGAUAACCUACCUAUAAGACUGGGAUAACUUCGGGAAACCGGAGCUAAUACCGGAAAAUAUAUUGAACCGCAUGGUUCAAUAGUGAAAGACGGUUUUGCUGUCACUUAUAGAUGGAUCCGCGCCGCAUUAGCUAGUUGGUAAGGUAACGGCUUACCAAGGCAACGAUGCGUAGCCGACCUGAGAGGGUGAUCGGCCACACUGGAACUGAGACACGGUCCAGACUCCUACGGGAGGCAGCAGUAGGGAAUCUUCCGCAAUGGGCGAAAGCCUGACGGAGCAACGCCGCGUGAGUGAUGAAGGUCUUCGGAUCGUAAAACUCUGUUAUUAGGGAAGAACAAAUGUGUAAGUAACUAUGCACGUCUUGACGGUACCUAAUCAGAAAGCCACGGCUAACUACGUG
Molecule: ribosomal RNA, 497 nt
Filed under: uncultured bacterium
Lineage: Bacteria
Description: partial 16S ribosomal RNA
Rfam family: Bacterial small subunit ribosomal RNA
Source: RNAcentral